UACGGAGGGUGCAAGCGUUAUCCGGAUUCACUGGGUUUAAAGGGUGCGUAGGUGGGCAGGUAAGUCAGUGGUGAAAUCUCCGGGCUUAACCCGGAAACUGCCAUUGAUACUAUCUGUCUUGAAUACCGUGGAGGUGAGCGGAAUAUGUCAUGUAGCGGUGAAAUGCUUAGAUAUGACAUAGAACACCAAUUGCGAAGGCAGCUCACUAGACGAAUACUGACACUGAGGCACGAAAGCGUGGGGAGCAAACAGG
Molecule: ribosomal RNA, 253 nt
Filed under: uncultured bacterium
Lineage: Bacteria
Description: partial 16S ribosomal RNA
Rfam family: Bacterial small subunit ribosomal RNA
Source: RNAcentral